This 1786-nucleotide long non-coding RNA is filed under the name Homo sapiens (human). Its description in RNAcentral is "HSALNT0044257". The record is from RNAcentral. Lineage: Eukaryota; Metazoa; Chordata; Mammalia; Primates; Hominidae.
UAGAAAACAUCAAGAUUUUUCUUCUUUCAACUGAUCCCUGGUUACUAAUUGGUCAUCUGUGGAACUGGAAACCUGAAGAAAUGUAAGAGAUUGUGUAAGAAGAAAACAGAAGAAAGCCUAGGAGAGAAUCCUGAGGAAAACCAAAGAUUUAAGGGAUGAGCAAAAGAGAAAUCUGCACAGUAACUCAUAAAGAGUGGUCGAAGAGGUAAAGAGAAAACAAGAGCAUAUGGUGUCAUACAAGCCUGAAGGGGAUUUUUCAAAGAUGCUGUCCCUCCCAAGGAAAUGCACAUGUGUUGAGGAUAGUUAGGAGGUAGGUGAGAAGUUUGCCUAUAAUGAAUUGACUCUAACCUUUUCUGUCUAAAACUUUGGGUUGCUUUUUCUACAUCACUUUGAGAAAUUUUUGGUAUUUAAGCUUCAUGCAAUGUAGGUCAGCUUUGAAUGUAUAUUUUAUUCAACCUUCGGAGCAGACAAUGAAAACUAUACUCAGAGGUUUCAGCAGCACUUUGAAUCCAGAAUUAAUAACAAUUACAACAGUAUUCAGAAAUUCAGCCUGAUCUAAAGUAAUAUUCUAUCCCCCCAGGCUAGCAUCUGCAAAAUCUAUACCCGCACAUUUGCCCCCACAUUGAGCACGAUAAAAAUGAACAAAAUCUUGCAAUUACUUAGUAGCCUUCUUCUAGGUACAAAAUUGUUCUUGUCCUACCUGAGCCCUAUUAGUCACAGGUUGGAAGCAAUAGUAAGGGGAAGGAAUGGGUUAUAAAGAGGAUUUACAUCCUCUUGCAAGUUGAGUAUGUCAGAGGAACCUUCAAGCAAACCAAGAUCAGCCUCAUUUGAUAUGGCAGGAGGGAGUGCUUAUGUUGUAAAAGAAGGCUUUCAGUGGAACUUGAGUAUUCAGAGUAGCUGGAGCUAUUUAAAUCUUCCCAAAUGUUGUCAUUAUAAUUCUCAGUUUUUGCUCCUUGAUGUAAGAGAUCAGAAGAUAGGUGUGGUGUGUUAUUGAGAACCAUUAGGGGUUUUCAAACUUUAGUGUCCCUCAUCACCUGGAGAGCUUUACAAGAAAUGUGUUAGGAGGCUUGAAGAAACAGACUCUAGCCUGAGAUUCCAGGAAGAGUAUCAAAAACCAUACCACAAAACUAGGCUAAGAAAGCUUCCACCUUUGCUUGAGUCCUGAUCAGAAAGCUGUCACCACACUUGCUGGCUUUACUUGCACUAGAAUUUGUGCCAGACAAAUAAAUCUUCUGUCUCCUGGCUCUCUCAAGUAACUGGUUCUGAAUAAAAGUCUAAUGCAUCUGAUUAGCAGAAUGUAUACCACAACUAGGACACAUAGGAAACUUUUAAUUAAUUUAUUUGUUUUAAUUUUCCAGACUGUUUACUCUAGAAAGGCACACAAGAAGGAAGUGAGAUUGGGUAUUGAGUACUCCUGCACUUGUUUCAAGUUGGGUAGGUACAUACUCACUUGUGAGUAAACCUCGUUAAAGUCCAUCUCUCCCACUAGAAAGAAAGCGUCAAGAAAGCUGAAUCUAAUGUCUAUUUACUCCUGUGCCCCUAGCACCUAGCAGCACAGUGCCUGGCACAUAAUGGCAUUCAAUAUAGAUUUGCUAAUACGCUUAUUGCCCAGUGAAUCAGCAGUUUCUGAAAGGAGGGGAAGGAGGAGACAAGCUCUCUGAAGAAAACCUGAAUCAGUUUUAUAGCCUUUGCUUAUGCUCAGCCCUGGUGCUCUCCAUAUUGUCUACCACACUAGCAUUGUGGACAAACAUAAAAAUUUAGGACUGUUAUUUUUGUUUUGUUUUUU